RNAcentral lists this ribosomal RNA (254 nucleotides) under uncultured bacterium. RNAcentral's name for it is "partial 16S ribosomal RNA". It matches the Rfam family "Bacterial small subunit ribosomal RNA", at positions 524 to 776 of the family's 1533-position model. The record is from RNAcentral.
GACGAACCGUGCUAACGUUGUUCGGAAUCACUGGGCUUAAAGGGCGCGUAGGCGGGCCGGCCAGUCAGGGGUGAAAGCCCGCGGCUCAACCGCGGAAGGGCCUUUGAUACUGCCGGCCUCGAGCGAGGUAGGGGCGUGCGGAACUUCCGGUGGAGCGGUGAAAUGCGUAGAUAUCGAGAGGAACACCUGCGGCGAAGGCGGGUUGCUGGGCUGACACUGACGCUGAUUGUGCGAAAGCUAGGGGAGCGAACGGG